GGGCGAUUAGCUCAGUUGGCUAGAGCGCGUCAUUGACGUUGACGAGGUCGGGGAUUCGAGCUCCUCAUCGCCCACCA
Molecule: transfer RNA, 77 nt
Filed under: Candidatus Saccharimonadota bacterium
Lineage: Bacteria; Candidatus Saccharimonadota
Also listed under: 1 other name
Description: tRNA-Val
Source: RNAcentral